UUCACAUGAUGAUUUGCCAUGCUAAUACUGAAGGAUCUUUAGGAUUCUACUGAGUUGAAAUUAAUCACAAACUGAUGAAU
Small nucleolar RNA from Copidosoma floridanum, 80 nucleotides. NCBI's taxonomy places the organism in Eukaryota, Metazoa, Arthropoda, Insecta, Hymenoptera, Encyrtidae. The record is from RefSeq and is a predicted model, not a curated record.